RNAcentral lists this transfer RNA (72 nucleotides) under Apophysomyces ossiformis. It matches the Rfam family "tRNA". Rfam says of the family: Transfer RNA (tRNA) molecules are approximately 80 nucleotides in length. Their secondary structure includes four short double-helical elements and three loops (D, anti-codon, and T loops). The record is from Rfam by way of RNAcentral. RNAcentral also lists the same sequence under 3 other names. Lineage: Eukaryota; Fungi; Mucoromycota; Mucoromycetes; Mucorales; Mucoraceae.
GGGGGGUUAGCACAAUGGUAGUGCGUCAGACUCCAGAUCUGAAGGUUGGGCGUUCGAGUCGCUCACUCCUCA